Molecule: ribosomal RNA, 774 nt
Filed under: uncultured Neocallimastigales
Lineage: Eukaryota; Fungi; Neocallimastigomycota; Neocallimastigomycetes; Neocallimastigales
Description: partial large subunit ribosomal RNA
Rfam family: Eukaryotic large subunit ribosomal RNA
Source: RNAcentral
GCAUCUGUGCAUGCAGCAUAUCAAUAAGCGGAGGAAAAGAAACUAACAAGGAUUCCCCUAGUAACGGCGAGUGAAGCGGGAAGAGCUCAAAUUUGAAAUCUUAAAGGGUUUCCCUUUACGAAUUGUAGUUUAAAGAAGUGUUUUCUGCUGAGGUUUUGGUAAAAGUUCUUUGGAAUAGGACAUCAUAGAGGGUGAGAAUCCCGUAUUUGACCUUUACUUUCAACUUUGUGAUACACUUUCAAAGAGUCGGAUUGUUUGGGAAUGCAGUCCAAAAUGGGUGGUAAAUUUCAUCUAGAGCUAAAUAUUGGCGAGAGACCGAUAGCGAACAAGUACCGUGAGGGAAAGAUGAAAAGAACUUUGAAAAGAGAGUUAAACAGUACGUGAAAUUGUCAAAAGGGAAGCGUUUGACACCAGUGUUGUUUUUCUGAAAAUCAAUUAAAGAACUGUUUAUGCUAAGUUGUUUAGACUUUAUCAGCUAACUGUUUAGUUUUGAGCUUUUCUUUAAUGCACUUUUCAGUUAACAAGUCAACAUCAAUUUCUUUUGCUGUAAAAAAGCUUGAGGAAGGUGGCUUGAGAUUCGUCUUAAGUGUUUAUAGCCUCUUGCCUAUGCAGUCGGAGAGAUUGAGGUCUGCAGCGUAGAUCCUUCGGGGCUAAAUGCAUUUGUGCUAAGUUAUAAGCAUUUUAUAGACAACUUGUUGACUAUGAUUUGUCUUGUAGCUUACUCGCUUAUGUUAUUUUACCUACGCUUAGGAUGUUGAACGCGCACAGAGUCUC